Molecule: ribosomal RNA, 162 nt
Filed under: Taraxacum sinicum
Lineage: Eukaryota; Viridiplantae; Streptophyta; Magnoliopsida; Asterales; Asteraceae
Description: 5.8S ribosomal RNA
Rfam family: 5.8S ribosomal RNA
About the family: 5.8S ribosomal RNA (5.8S rRNA) is a component of the large subunit of the eukaryotic ribosome.
Source: RNAcentral
GAAUGACUCUCGGCAACGGAUAUCUCGGCUCACGCAUCGAUGAAGAACGUAGCAAAAUGCGAUACUUGGUGUGAAUUGCAGAAUCCCGUGAACCAUCGAGUUUUUGAACGCAAGUUGCGCCCGAAGCCAUCCGGUUCAGGGCACGCCUGCCUGGGCGUCACG